RNAcentral lists this ribosomal RNA (486 nucleotides) under uncultured bacterium. RNAcentral's name for it is "partial 16S ribosomal RNA". It matches the Rfam family "Bacterial small subunit ribosomal RNA", at positions 30 to 507 of the family's 1533-position model. The record is from RNAcentral.
AUUGAACGCUGGCGGCAUGCCUUACACAUGCAAGUCGAACGGCAGCACGGGUGCUUGCCCCUGGUGGCGAGUGGCGAACGGGUGAGUAAUACAUCUGAACAUGUCCUGUAGUGGGGGAUAGCCAGGCGAAAGCCGGAUUAAUACCGCAUACGAUCUACGUAUGAAAGCGGGGGACCUUCGGGCCUCGCGCUUUGGGGUUGGCCGAUGACGGAUUAGCUAGUUGGUAGGGUAAAGGCCUACCAAGGCGACGAUCAGUAGCUGGUCUGAGAGGACGACCAGCCACACUGGGACUGAGACACGGCCCAGACUCCUACGGGAGGCAGCAGUGGGGAAUUUUGGACAAUGGGCGAAAGCCUGAUCCAGCAAUGCCGCGUGUGUGAAGAAGGCCUUCGGGUUGUAAAGCACUUUUGUCAGGAAAGAAAUCCUUGGCCCUAAUACGGUCGGGGGAUGACGGUACCGGAAGAAUAAGCACCGGCUAACUACGUG